AUGCACGCUGGCGGCGUGCCUAAUACAUGCAAGUCGAGCGAACAGACGAGGAGCUUGCUCCUCUGACGUUAGCGGCGGACGGGUGAGUAACACGUGGAUAACCUACCUAUAAGACUGGGAUAACUUCGGGAAACCGGAGCUAAUACCGGAUAAUAUAUUGAACCGCAUGGUUCAAUAGUGAAAGACGGUUUUGCUGUCACUUAUAGAUGGAUCCGCGCCGCAUUAGCUAGUUGGUAAGGUAACGGCUUACCAAGGCAACGAUGCGUAGCCGACCUGAGAGGGUGAUCGGCCACACUGGAACUGAGACACGGUCCAGACUCCCACGGGAGGCAGCAGUGGGGAAUCUUCCGCAAUGGGCGAAAGCCUGACGGAGCAACGCCGCGUGAGUGAUGAAGGUCUUCGGAUCGUAAAACUCUGUUAUUAGGGAAGAACAAAUGUGUAAGUAACUAUGCACGUCUUGACGGUACCUAAUCAGAAAGCCACGGCUAACUACGUG
Molecule: ribosomal RNA, 496 nt
Filed under: uncultured bacterium
Lineage: Bacteria
Description: partial 16S ribosomal RNA
Rfam family: Bacterial small subunit ribosomal RNA
Source: RNAcentral